UACGAAGGGGGCAAGCGUUGUUCGGAAUUACUGGGCGUAAAGGGCGCGUAGGCGGCACGGCAAGUCAGGAGUGAAAGCCCUGGGCUCAACCCGGGAACUGCUUUUGAAACUGCCGAGCUAGAGUGCGGAAGGGGCAACUGGAAUUCCCAGUGUAGCGGUGAAAUGCGUAGAUAUUGGGAAGACCACCUGAGGCGAAGGCGGGUUGCUGGGCCGACACUGACGCUGAGGCGCGAAAGCCAGGGGAGCGAACGGG
Molecule: ribosomal RNA, 253 nt
Filed under: uncultured bacterium
Lineage: Bacteria
Description: partial 16S ribosomal RNA
Rfam family: Bacterial small subunit ribosomal RNA
Source: RNAcentral